Molecule: ribosomal RNA, 301 nt
Filed under: uncultured bacterium
Lineage: Bacteria
Description: partial 16S ribosomal RNA
Rfam family: Bacterial small subunit ribosomal RNA
Source: RNAcentral
CAGCAGCCGCGGGAAUACGAAGGGGGCUAGCGUUGCUCGGAAUGACUGGGCGUAAAGGGCGCGUAGGCGGCGAUCAAAGUCAGGCGUGAAAUUCCUGGGCUCAACCUGGGGGCUGCGCUUGAUACUUGGUUGCUUGAGUGGGGAAGAGGGUCGUGGAAUUCCCAGUGUAGAGGUGAAAUUCGUAGAUAUUGGGAAGAACACCGGUGGCGAAGGCGGCGACCUGGUCCUUGACUGACGCUGAGGCGCGAAAGCGUGGGGAGCAAACAGGAUUAGAUACCCGGGUAGUCCCUGUCUCUUAUAA